RNAcentral lists this ribosomal RNA (301 nucleotides) under uncultured bacterium. Its description in RNAcentral is "partial 16S ribosomal RNA". It matches the Rfam family "Bacterial small subunit ribosomal RNA", at positions 509 to 808 of the family's 1533-position model. The record is from RNAcentral.
CAGCGCCACGGUAAUACGUAGGGUGCAAGCGUUAAUCGGAAUUACUGGGCGUAAAGCGUGCGCAGGCGGUUCUACAAGACAGAUGUGAAAUCCCCGGGCUCAACCUGGGAACUGCAUUUGUGACUGUAGAGCUGGAGUGCGGCAGAGGGGGAUGGAAUUCCGCGUGUAGCAGUGAAAUGCGUAGAUAUGCGGAGGAACACCGAUGGCGAAGGCAAUCCCCUGGGCCUGCACUGACGCUCAUGCACGAAAGCGUGGGGAGCAAACAGGAUUAGAUACCCCGGUAGUCCCUGUCUCUUAUACA